GAGUUUGAUCAUGGCUCAGAUUGAACGCUGGCGGCAGGCCUAACACAUGCAAGUCGAGCGGAAGGUUCUUCGGAACUGAGGGCGGCGGACGGGUGAGGAACGCGUGGGAAUCUGCCUGUAGAUGGGGGAUAGCCCGGAGAAAUCCGGAUUAAUACCUCAUAGUAUAUUGGGAUCGCAUGAUUUUGAUAUUAAAGAUUUAUUGCCUUAAGAUGGGUGUGCGUAUGAUUAGGUAGUUGGUUGAGGUAACGGCUCACCAAGCCUUCGAUCAUUAACUGGUGUGAGAG
This 284-nucleotide ribosomal RNA is filed under the name uncultured Gammaproteobacteria bacterium. Its description in RNAcentral is "partial 16S ribosomal RNA". It matches the Rfam family "Bacterial small subunit ribosomal RNA", at positions 9 to 298 of the family's 1533-position model. Lineage: Bacteria; Pseudomonadati; Pseudomonadota; Gammaproteobacteria. The record is from RNAcentral.